GAAGGUGUAGCUCAAGUGGUAGAGCGCAUGCUUAGCAUGCACAAGGUCCUGGGUUCAGACCCCAGCACCUCCA
This 73-nucleotide transfer RNA is filed under the name Camelus bactrianus (Bactrian camel). It matches the Rfam family "tRNA". From Rfam's summary of the family: Transfer RNA (tRNA) molecules are approximately 80 nucleotides in length. The record is from Rfam by way of RNAcentral. Lineage: Eukaryota; Metazoa; Chordata; Mammalia; Artiodactyla; Camelidae. RNAcentral also lists the same sequence under 2 other names.